AGUGAACGCUGGCGGUAGGCCUAACACAUGCAAGUCGAACGGCAGCACAGUAAGAGCUUGCUCUUACGGGUGGCGAGUGGCGGACGGGUGAGGAAUACAUCGGAAUCUACUUUUUCGUGGGGGAUAACGUAGGGAAACUUACGCUAAUACCGCAUACGACCUACGGGUGAAAGCAGGGGAUCUUCGGACCUUGCGCGAUUGCAUGAGCCGAUGUCGGAUUAGCUUGUUGGCGGGGUAAAGGCCCACCAAGGCGACGAUCCGUAGCUGGUCUGAGAGGAUGAUCAGCCACACUGGAACUGAGACACGGUCCAGACUCCUACGGGAGGCAGCAGUGGGGAAUAGUGGAAAAUGGGCGCAAGCCUGAUCCAGCCAUACCGCGUGGGUGAAGAAGGCCUUCGGGUUGUAAAGCCCUUUUGUUGGGAAAGAAAAGCAGCAGGUUAAUACCCCGCUGUUCUGACGGUACCCAAAGAAUAAGCACCGGCUAACUUCGUG
Molecule: ribosomal RNA, 492 nt
Filed under: uncultured bacterium
Lineage: Bacteria
Description: partial 16S ribosomal RNA
Rfam family: Bacterial small subunit ribosomal RNA
Source: RNAcentral